Molecule: long non-coding RNA, 522 nt
Filed under: Sus scrofa (pig)
Lineage: Eukaryota; Metazoa; Chordata; Mammalia; Artiodactyla; Suidae
Description: lncRNA (ENSSSCG00025048355.1, ENSSSCG00055005612.1)
Source: RNAcentral
AUUUUGGGUCAUCCGUUUGGUCUUCAAGUGCAGUGAUGAGGGACCUGCUUGCAUUCCCACCUGCUGGAUGACUAGUGGUGGACCAUGGGGAGAUCUUGUUCCUGCCAUGAGACAUAGCAAGAAAGAUGCAAGUCACAAUCUGAUUAUCAGCAUACGCAGUGGUUCCAUAGUCCAGGAGACAUUCAGGGCUUUUCAGUAUGAAAUGGAACAAGACCACCUUGAUAACACUGGCAUGUUUCACUGGUGCAGAGCCACCCCAUUGGACAAAAUGAUUCUGAAACGAACUGACAAGUCAAAACAUGAGUUUCGGAACCACAUCGUGGCAUGUGUCUUUGGAGAUGCCCAUUCGACCCUGAUGGGGCUUCGGAAUUUUGUAAUGCCACUGAGAGCUAGCAACUACACCCGCAAGGAGCUGAAGGACAUUGUGUUUGUUGGGUCUCUGGAUUACCUGCAGAGAGAAUGGCGAUUCCUCCGGAAUUUCCCCCAGAUAUACUUUCUGCCUGGAUCUGCGCUCUAUUCUGG